This is a long non-coding RNA of Planococcus citri (citrus mealybug), 537 nucleotides long. RefSeq lists it as uncharacterized. The transcript is spliced from 3 exons. Lineage: Eukaryota; Metazoa; Arthropoda; Insecta; Hemiptera; Pseudococcidae. The record is from RefSeq and is a predicted model, not a curated record.
UGAAAAAAAUAAUUGUUUCAAUUUUAAGAAAAAAUUGUCAUUUUUCAUCAUCGCCAAGGAUGAUGAUGAAUUGAUGAUGAAUGCAUGACAUCCCUUACAUCUUCAUAACCUAAAAUAUGAUUUUUAUAGGUGUGCAUGUUUCAUACAAAAAUGAAUCUUCUGUGGUAUUUCACUUAAGAGAAAACAUCACUCUGAGCUGUACUGGAGAAGAUGAAGUCGUAUGGAGAGUUCGGAGCAUAUCCACAAAUUAUAGUGUAAAGGUGGAGACCCCUUACAGGAAAAUAAUUGAAAUAAGAAAUGCCACAGUUGAAAACAUUGGAUUUUACGAUUGUUAUUCAAAGGGGAAUCAGGAUGACUUGAUGAGGCUUGGGCUGGUGCCUCAUGUAUACGCGUACUUAGAGAUGGGGUAUAAAAUCCAUGGGGAAUCACAACGUCCCGUCGUGAUUCCUCCGUGAUCAAUGAUGAAUCAAUUAAAAUUCAGCAUACAUUACAAGAUUCUUAUUUGAUGUACCUACUACCUAGUACCUACCUACCUAA